ACGUACAGUGCCCGUUGAGGUUGAAUAAUUUGAAACAUAUUUUUCAUCUUGAAGGAGUCCUCGUGAAGUCUCUCCACUGCUAAAAUCUCCUCCAACGAACCACUGGCUGCUCCUGCGGCAUCGUUGGAUGCUGCUUUGCGGCACCACUACUAUUGCUACUGGUCGAUAUUAAUUCUAGAAAUUGCUUCACUGCUUGGAUAUGUCUUUCUGUGUAGAAUUCUCUGUAACAGGCGAAUUACAUUGCAUUAAGAUAAAGAAAAAUAAUCUACGAGACUGUAA
Molecule: long non-coding RNA, 279 nt
Organism: Ooceraea biroi (clonal raider ant)
Lineage: Eukaryota; Metazoa; Arthropoda; Insecta; Hymenoptera; Formicidae
Source: RefSeq, a predicted model, not a curated record